Piliocolobus tephrosceles (Ugandan red Colobus) is the source of this 3976-nucleotide RNA transcript. It is a transcript of the gene named F-box and WD repeat domain containing 8, with no coding region annotated. The transcript has 11 exons. The record is from RefSeq and is a predicted model, not a curated record. NCBI's taxonomy places the organism in Eukaryota, Metazoa, Chordata, Mammalia, Primates, Cercopithecidae.
CGGCCGCGGCGGACACUUCCCUGGGAGGGACCGUCCCGUGGCACCCGGUGGAACCGAGGAGAACGUGGAGCGCCGGGAGCAGCGAAUAUGGACGACUGCAGCCUGGAUGAGUUCCGUCGGCGCUGGCUGGAGGAGCUGGCGCAGGCCCAGGCGCCGAGGAAGCGGCGACGGCCCGAGGCUGCCGAGAGGCGGGCUCGGCGGCCAGAGGUGGUCCCUGGGCGCGGCGAACAGGCCUCGGGGGACUCGGCGCUGGCCCAGGGUCUCCUGGAGGGCGCGGGGAGGCCCCCGGCAGCGCGGGCGACUCGGACCGAGGGGCAGGACGUGGCGAGCCGCUCCCGUUCUCCUCUGGCCCGCGAGGGUGCCGGGGGCGGGGAGCAGCUGGUGGACCAGCUCAUCCGCGACCUGAAUGAAAUGAAUGAUGUGCCUUUCUUUGAUAUCCAACUGCCUUAUGAACUGGCAAUCAAUAUAUUUCAGUAUCUGAACAGGAAAGAACUAGGAAGAUGUGCACAGGUGAGCAAGACGUGGAAGGUGAUUGCGGAGGAUGAGGUGCUGUGGUACAGGCUGUGCCAGCAGGAAGGGCACCUUCCGGAUAGCAGCAUCUCUGACUAUUCUUGCUGGAAGCUCAUCUUCCAAGAGUGCCGAGCGAAGGAACACAUGUUACGAACCAACUGGAAGAAUCGCAAAGGUGCCGUGAGCGAGCUGGAGCACAUUCCUGACGCGGUUUUGUGUGAUGUGCAUUCUCACGAUGGCGUGGUCAUUGCUGGAUAUACAUCAGGGGACGUGAGAGUGUGGGACACCCGCACCUGGGACUACGUAGCCCCCUUCCUGGAAUCAGAGGACGAGGAGGACGAGCCUGGAAUGCAGCCAAAUGUCUCCUUUGUGAGGAUAAACAGCUCGCUGGCAGUAGCAGCUUAUGAGGAUGGGUUUCUUAAUAUUUGGGAUUUAAGGACCGGAAAGUACCCUGUUCAUCGUUUUGAACAUGAUGCAAGAAUACAGGCACUAGCCCUCAGCCAGGACGAUGCAACUGUGGCCACAGCCUCUGCUUUUGAUGUUGUGAUGCUGUCCCCCGGUGAGGACGGGUACUGGCAGAUAGCUGCGGAAUUUGAAGUUCCGAAACUGGUUCAGUACCUUGAAAUGGUUCCAGAAACUGGAAGGUACCCUGUGGCAGUAGCCGCUGCUGGAGAUCUGAUGUACCUGCUCAAAGCCGAAGACUCCGCCAGAACCCUCCUUUACGCCCACGGCCCGCCUGUCACAUGUCUAGACGUCUCUGCCAACGAAGUUGCUUUUGGUGUACAGGGCCUGGGAUGGGUGUACGAAGGAAGCAAGAUCCUGGUAUAUAGCCUGGAAGCAGGACGCCGCCUCUUGAAGCUGGGUAACGUUCUCCGUGACUUCACAUGUGUCAACCUCAGCGACAGCCCUCCCAACCUCAUGGUCAGUGGCAACAUGGACGGGAGGGUGAGGAUCCAUGACGUCCGCAGCGGUAACGUCGCCCUGUCGCUCUCUGCCCACCAGCUUGGGGUCUCUGCCGUGCAGAUGGACGACUGGAAGGUCGUCAGCGGAGGCGAGGAAGGCCUGGUGUCCGUGUGGGAUUAUCGGACGAACCAAAAGCUGUGGGAGGUGUAUUCUGGGCCUCGAACUGGAGAUCCUGUCUUUGAGACAGGUGGGGAUAAAGACAACUGGCCCUCUCCCUCGCUGCCCCUCAACACUGCUGUGAAGAGACAUUCGGCCAGGCAUGGUGGCUCACCUGUAAUCCCAGCUACUCAGGAGACUGAGGAGCUCUGAAGGCCAGGGGUUUGAGACUGGCCUGGGCAACCCAGGGAGACCCUGCCUCUUUCAAAAUUCUCCAGGCAUGGUGGUGUGCACCUCUAGUCCCAGUGACUCAGGAGGCUGACGGGAGGAUUGCUCCAUGGAGCGCAGGGGUUUGAGGCUGCACGGACUGUGCCACUGUACUCCAGCCUGGGUGACAGAAUGAAACCCCAUCUCUACAAAAACAAGAUGAUUCUGGUCCGGUGGCCUAUGAGCAUGACAACAUAGAAGAGCAGAAACAGGGCAAGGCCCUCGCAGUGAACUCAGAUUUGUUCCCCACUUACUGCGAAUCAAGGUGAACCGACCUCUGAGCAGCGACCUGCUCUUUCUGCAAGGCCGGCAGUUUGCCAGGCGUCUCCAAGAGGCGGCAGGGUUACAUGCAGAACGGGCUUCUUCCUCGGAGGGCGCUGUUGGCGAACACUGUGGCUGGCAGAUUUUAUCAGACAGAGCCCUGGGUACUGCCUAGGCCCACCCCCUCGCUGUGUCCCUGUCCCUGUAGCCUGGGCCCUUUUUCUGACUUCCAUGCUGAUGCACUGAAUUGCCACCAGGUGGUGCCAAAUGGCAACUAAAACUCCUGCACCGAAAUUCCCGGAAGCAUUUGCCUUUGAGGAAAACUCAGUAUGUGUUUUAAAGCGUUGCUGGAUCAGCCAUCCAGGCAGGUCCUCAGGGAUAGCCACCGGCCCCACACUCCAGCAGAUCUCAUUUUUCUCUCUGCAAAGCUUCACCCCCGGGACAGGCCACUGAGAUGAAGCCUAGGUAAGGAAGGCCUUCCCCAGAGGUGUGGCCCUGUCCCAGCACUGCCUCUGUCCCUGUGCGACCCGGGCUUCUCCCCCAUGCGGUCACUGUUUUCACCAGCACAAGGCUGACGGACACACGGUCUCCUGCCCAGAACUCACUGACCUACUCAAGGCCUCACCUGCAGUGCCUGCUGCCAGGCCUCAGUCUCUUCAGCCCAGGUCCUCGCCUGCCUGACAGGGUGCCAUCAGUCUGUCAUGCUGCAGGCCUCCACUAAGCCUGCCCUCCCUCUGCGGGUCCUUCUCAUCCUCCAGGCCCCAUGCCAAAUCCACCACCACUUUCCUGCUGUGGGUGUCCCAACCCCGGGGAGGUAGGGACUGCUCCCUAGCUUCCCUCACUCCCAAGAACCCUCUGCUUUCGUCAAGGAGAGCAGCCCUGGCCCAGCCCACACAGGCCUCGUCCCCUCCUGUGCACCCCUCCCAACAGACCCUUUCAGCCCUCCUCCCCUCCCAGCACUUAAUUCUGCGUCAUGCAGUCUUUGUAGCUUGUAACUUCGCUUGUGCUACAGAAGCGUUAGUCACAUUUUCUGGGACUGCAUCUUACCUUCUUCACUAGCUAGGGCCCUCCCUGGGUCAGGCAUCCACCUGGAUGAGGCAUCUUUUUAAUUCAGUGUCUCCUAGCUCAGUGCCGUGACCACAGCAGGUACUGCACGAAAGUUUCAGAACAAACGCAAACCUCUGUUCAACAGACUUGGAGCCAUUUUGUUCCAGGAUUUCCCAAACGUGCUUUCACCACCCAGGGGACGUGUGUCAUCGCAGCCCUGUGAGCCGGAUCGGGGGCGCCUUCAUGGAUCAACAGUGAACAUGCCCCCGGUGCUCUACAGAUGAUGGAGCGCCUGGCUGGGAGAGCCCAAGGGACUUGCCCAGGGAGGCAGCGAUGGACCAGUCUCUGUUGCACGUGGUUGAUUCAUCUCCAGUAGGGUGUGUCCUCUAUGUCUGGAAUGUACCAGGUUGUUGGGGCAGAUGCCAAGAUGCCAGCAUGCGUAUGGGGCAUGCAGACCUAUUUACAAAGCCAUGCCCGAAGCAUGGCCUGCUCACCUGAGCUUUGGGAGCUGAGGUGAGACACUGCUUCCAUGGGGGCCUGUGUUCCCUCUGAAAGAGAAGCUUAGCUUUAUGGAGUCUAGAAUCCCCUGCAGCUCUGAACUCCCAGGUCUGUGGCAGCAAGUGCAGGCUGUGCGCAGGCCCAGUGGAUGCCCCCUUACGAGCUCUCUCCCGCUGCCUUCCAGACACCCCGUGCAGCACAUCUCAUUCAGCAGCCACAGCCUCAUCACGGCCAACGUGCCCUACCAGACGGUGAUGCGAAAAGCCGACUGGGACAGCUUCACUACUCACAGGAGGAAUUGGGAACAUAAGCAUCAAUGCUGACCUGUACUGAG